GCCAUUUUAGCUCAUGACCAAGAUGGCGUUCAGAGGGACGAACGCCUUCUGCAAAAAGAAGGUACAGAAGGUAGAUGAAAAGCCAGAGGAAAAUGAGGGCAUCAUCGACAUCAGAGAACUAUGGGGAGAGACGGCCAACAGCAGGCACAAGGACCCGGUUCUUCGUGUUGCGUUCGCCACCUUCCUGCCUCCUCCCAGUAGCCCCGUGACACACCUGCUCACAUCCUGUCUGUUGCAGAAAUGAGGCGACCAAAGCAGGAAAGCACGCCCACAGGAUGCUGAUCAGCACGGCAUGCGUUGACGAGUAGAAACCAACAGACAUGACCAGUGAGGGUACUGGCAGUGGCUGUGUGGCUCUAGUCACGCUACGUCACCAUG
Neofelis nebulosa (Clouded leopard) is the source of this 378-nucleotide long non-coding RNA. RefSeq lists it as uncharacterized. NCBI's taxonomy places the organism in Eukaryota, Metazoa, Chordata, Mammalia, Carnivora, Felidae. The transcript has 3 exons. The record is from RefSeq and is a predicted model, not a curated record.